Molecule: non-coding RNA, 161 nt
Filed under: Bacillus sp. (in: firmicutes)
Lineage: Bacteria; Bacillati; Bacillota; Bacilli; Caryophanales; Bacillaceae
Description: Bacillus sp. SAM-I sequence
Rfam family: SAM riboswitch aptamer (S box leader)
About the family: The SAM riboswitch is found upstream of a number of genes which code for proteins involved in methionine or cysteine biosynthesis in Gram-positive bacteria. The SAM riboswitch acts at the level of transcription termination control.
Source: RNAcentral
CUCUUAUCAAGAGUAGGCUGAGGGAUUUGGCCCGAUGACGCCCAGCAACCGACCGUAAAACCAUUGUAAAAUGGGGCGCAGUUUUUUAUGCGCGGGGAGAUUUCUCCCACAAGGCACGGUGCUAAUUCCAACAGAAAGAAUUUCUUUCUGGCAGAUAAGAG